Molecule: long non-coding RNA, 1111 nt
Organism: Temnothorax curvispinosus
Lineage: Eukaryota; Metazoa; Arthropoda; Insecta; Hymenoptera; Formicidae
Exons: 4
Source: RefSeq, a predicted model, not a curated record
AAAAGAGAACCGUUCGGUCACAACUGCGACGCUCGACUACACGUUGCAAUGCAAGACUUUUGGUCAUUUGGAGAACGAGGACAUCAACACUAUCGAUUAUGACAGAUCCAGUGUGAAGUUCGAAAGGUAACUGGCUUCUUCCGCCGCUUCUUAUCUUCUGACUUUUCGUGAAAUCCGUUUCGCGUUUUUGCGUCCCUAUUUUUCUCCUCUUCUCUUCCUCUUUCUGGUGUUCUUUGACGCGCAGAUCGAAAACACCAAGGUGGCACAAGCAACGCUACUUUCCGAGCAUCGCGGAAGCCGAGAGCUAGCUGCGAUCAAGUCGACAAGGCUCCGGGAGCGACACGUCCGGAAGCCCUUGCGGCGAAUGCGCCGGGCCUAGUUAUAGAGUGCCAGUAAAGCCUUGUAGAGAUGUAUUUUCGCGAGGUGUCGAAUCGAGUACGGAAUCUAACAACGAAGGCUCGCCCUCACUCGCGAGACGACGAAGCCGACAGCCGAGCCGGUCUACUCGCAGGUAGCCAAGUUCGGUGGAGGAUAUGACACUAUUGCCGCCAACCGGGUUCAGUGACAGCCGCGAAUUGAGCGACGUGGAGUGCGACCGUGACUGUGAUCGCGAACGCGAUCGCGAAUGGCAAGGUUUAUCAGCCGGAACCCGUCACUGCGGCAGUUUGGGCAAACUUCCGAUUGAGGCCGUCGAAUCUAUGCUCGCAUCGGCACGAGUCUCCGUAAACAGGCAUGCCAAGUACCAAGCAGCCGAGACCGGUCUAAUCCUCGGAAAUUUAUUUAUAUCAGCAAAGGAAGGAGCAAGAGAGACAAGAAUUCACUAUACACGUAUGAUCGAGAUUCGCUGGUUCGACUUGGUAACUUCGCCAAACAAUUUAACAUUAUUUAGAAAGAGAUGACGAGUCGUCUCUUUUCUUGAAACUAUCCGUCGCCGUUGGAGAAAAUUUUAAUGUGUUGAAAAGAGUGCGGGAGAGACAAUUCAAUUUUUAAUGGAGGUGGAUACAAGAGACUCUCAUUGUCAGAUCCAUUUGUGUCGAAGAGGCGUCUCAAUAACUGAUCUGCGUUGCGCCAAAUACUGCCGUUAUUAUACACAAAACAUAGCCUUCGUAUA